RNAcentral lists this transfer RNA (64 nucleotides) under Histeridae sp. BMNH 1274329. RNAcentral's name for it is "tRNA-Phe". The record is from RNAcentral. Lineage: Eukaryota; Metazoa; Arthropoda; Insecta; Coleoptera; Histeridae.
AUUUAUAUAGCUUAUGUUUAGAGCGUGAUAUUGAAGAUAUCAAUGAGGCCCAGGCCUGUAAAUA